UGCCAGCCGCCGCGGUAAUACGGAGGGUGCAAGCGUUAAUCGGAAUCACUGGGCGUAAAGGGCGCGUAGGCGGUUCAGUAAGUCGGGUGUGAAAGCCCCGGGCUCAACCCGGGAAUUGCAUUCGAUACUGCUGAACUAGAGUGUGGUAGAGGGAAGCGGAAUUCCGGGUGUAGCGGUGAAAUGCGUAGAUAUCCGGAGGAACACCAGUGGCGAAGGCGGCUUCCUGGACCAACACUGACGCUGAGGCGCGAAAGCGUGGGGAGCAAACAGGAUUAGAUA
RNAcentral lists this ribosomal RNA (279 nucleotides) under uncultured bacterium. RNAcentral describes it as "partial 16S ribosomal RNA". It matches the Rfam family "Bacterial small subunit ribosomal RNA", at positions 506 to 784 of the family's 1533-position model. The record is from RNAcentral.